AUGUCCUACGGGAGGCAGCAGUAGGGAAUCUUCCACAAUGGACGAAAGUCUGAUGGAGCAACGCCGCGUGAGUGAAGAAGGGUUUCGGCUCGUAAAGGUCUGUUGGGAGUGAAGAAAGAUAGAGGUAGUAACUGGCCUUUAUUUGACGGUAAUUACUUAGAAAGUCACGGCUAACUACGUGCCAGCAGCCGCGGGAAUACGAAGGUGGCAAGCGUUGUCCGGAUUUAUUGGGCGUAAA
RNAcentral lists this ribosomal RNA (238 nucleotides) under uncultured bacterium. Its description in RNAcentral is "partial 16S ribosomal RNA". It matches the Rfam family "Bacterial small subunit ribosomal RNA", at positions 334 to 564 of the family's 1533-position model. The record is from RNAcentral.